This 450-nucleotide ribosomal RNA is filed under the name uncultured bacterium. RNAcentral's name for it is "partial 16S ribosomal RNA". It matches the Rfam family "Bacterial small subunit ribosomal RNA", at positions 338 to 795 of the family's 1533-position model. The record is from RNAcentral.
CCUACGGGUGGCAGCAGUAAGGAAUAUUGGUCAAUGGACGAAAGUCUGAACCAGCCAUGCCGCGUGGAGGAUGAAGGUCCUCUGGAUUGUAAACUUCUUUUAUAUGGGACGAAAAAGGCCUUUCUAGGCCGUCUGACGGUACCAUAUGAAUAAGCACCGGCUAACUCCGUGCCAGCAGCCGCGGUAAUACGGAGGGUGCAAGCGUUAUCCGGAUUCACUGGGUGCGUAGGGGGGUUAGGUGGGUUGAGAUGAAAUCUCCGAGCUUAACUUGGAAACUGCCAUUGAUACUAUUAAUCUUGAAUAUUGUGGAGGUUAGCGGAAUAUGUCAUGUAGCGGUGAACUGCUUAGAUAUGACAUAGAACACCAAUUGCGAAGGCAGCUGGCUACACAUAUAUUGACACUGAGGCACGAAAGCGUGGGGAUCAAACAGGAGUAGAUACCCCUGUAGUC